Molecule: non-coding RNA, 426 nt
Filed under: Pongo abelii (Sumatran orangutan)
Lineage: Eukaryota; Metazoa; Chordata; Mammalia; Primates; Hominidae
Source: RNAcentral
GACUAGGGUCCUCAAUCCAAAACUGGAACCACUUACUCCUAACUGAAGCUUCAGUACACUUGAUGCCUACUGUGGGUUGAUUUUUUACCUACAUAUGACAUGUUGGCUCUACACUGAUCAAGAGAUCAUCAAGAAAGAAAACCAAGGCACUAGAAAGCAAGCACACUUAAGUAUUGAAGAUAAUUACAUCUUAAAUUUUGUCUGAACUGUAUAUUGUAGCAUACUUAAACCCAUUCAAGGAAAAAAUUGGCAAAUUGAAAAUUCUCCCAUUAAAGAUUGAUAUUUUUGCAAACUGACAAAUUUAACGAUUUCGGUACCCCUCCCCAAAAAUGCAAUCACAUAAAAUAAAUCAAUACUAUUUUGAAUUAGCUCUAGAAAUCACACUGAAACUGUUACAUUUACAAAUGUUAAAUUUAUUAUAACUAA